GACGAACGCUGGCGGCGUGCCUAAUACAUGCAAGUAGAACGCUGAAGAGAGGAGCUUGCUCUUCUUGGAUGAGUUGCGAACGGGUGAGUAACGCGUAGGUAACCUGCCUGGUAGCGGGGGAUAACUAUUGGAAACGAUAGCUAAUACCGCAUAACAACAGUUGUUGCAUGACAGCUGUUUAAAAGAUGCAAUUGCAUCACUACCAGAUGGACCUGCGUUGUGUUAGCUAGUUGGUGAGGUAACGGCUCACCAAGGCGACGAUACAUAGCCGACCUGAGAGGGUGAUCGGCCACACUGGGACUGAGACACGGCCCAGACUCCUACGGGAGGCAGCAGUAGGGAAUCUUCGGCAAUGGGGGGAACCCUGACCGAGCAACGCCGCGUGAGUGAAGAAGGUUUUCGGAUCGUAAAGCUCUGUUGUAAGAGAAGAACGGGUGUGAGAGUGGAAAGUUCACACUGUGACGGUAUCUUACCAGAAAGAGACGGCUAACUACGUG
This 497-nucleotide ribosomal RNA is filed under the name uncultured bacterium. RNAcentral describes it as "partial 16S ribosomal RNA". It matches the Rfam family "Bacterial small subunit ribosomal RNA", at positions 28 to 507 of the family's 1533-position model. The record is from RNAcentral.